GAGGAAGCCGUGUUCGCCAUUUUAUCGUGAAAAGUGUCUGCUUUCACAACAUGGUUUGUAAUCUUUAAUAGUAAUAAUUUAUUAAAAAUUGUCGUUUAGAUUUCCUUUUAAAUAAUAUAAAUAGUUAUAUAUUUUUUAAAUUGAUAUUUCAACCACUUUUCGUAGCGUAACGACAUUUAAAAUAGUUUAAAUCGUAAAGCUAGGACUUCAGUCGGCAUCACGCCAUUCUUGAUUGUCGUUUAAUUGACUAUUUAGUAAGAAUAAUCCAUAAUUAAGUUAUUCCUUGUAGUAAAGUGAUUAAAUCAUUAUUUCAGAUUGUGUAGAAUUGUUAUGAGGUAUAUUUUCAAAUUAAUAACCUGGCUGUGAUUCUUUCGAGGAAGUAGCAUAAAGCUAUUGAAGAUGAUGUACUCGGGUACUACCGCGGAGCAGGACACUCGCUUCAGCGACAAGGAGAAGAAACUCCUCAAACAAAUGAAAUUUGGAGAUGCCCUUGCUACAAGAGUGGAUAUGUCGAAGGUGAAGCUUGACACCAUCAAACCAUGGAUUACGCAGAAGAUCACAGAAGUGCUCGGCAUGGAGGAUGAUGUAGUCGUCGAGUUUGUCUUCAAUCAGCUUGAGGCAGAAAAGUUCCCAGAUCCGAAGAAAAUGCAGAUCAACCUGACCGGAUUUCUGAACGGCAAGAACGCUCGCACGUUCAUGACAGACCUGUGGGAACUGCUGCUUUCUGCGCAGGAAACUGCCAGCGGCAUUCCCGAGCAGUUUGUCGAAAAGAAGAAGGAGGAGAUCAAGAAAAGAAUGGAGGAGCAAGAAAGAAUACAGGAUAUCGCCAAGAAGGUGGAUAAAAGAGAAAAAGAGGAAAAGGAAAGGAAGAGAGAGAGGAAAAGAAGCAGGUCACGGGAUAGACAUCGUGACAAGGACCGCAAGGACAGAGACAAGGAUAGGGAUAAGGAUAGGAGCCGAGAUAAGGAGAGCUCAAAAAGAUCGAGAUCCAAGUCUGGUGACAGGGGCGACGGAAAGGACGACAAAGAAAUAAAGAAGGAGAAUGUCGAUGAGAAACUGGACAACGGCAAAGCAAGCCCUGAUAAUGCGUCUGCCAAGAACGGCGAGAAGAGAGGAUCUCCGAAGCGGGUGGACAGUGGCGGCGGCGGCGGUGGUGACAGGAAGGAGAAGGACAAGAAGCGUCGUUCGCGGUCGUCGUCCAGUUCGUCGAGUUCAUCGGAUGAGGCCAACAAGAAGACCAAGUCAAAGUCGCGGUCCGGCUCAAGGUCCAGCAAGAAGUCCGACAGUAGCGCUUCGUCAGGUAAAAGUUCGAAGAAAGAAGACUUUGAAAUCAGAAAGAAGGAAAACAGUGUUCAGAAGAAACGCCAGUACAGGAGCAACAAGGAUGACUCAUCCGGCAGCGAUUCCGAUCAAGGACGUCAUUCCAAAAAGGACAGAUACCGGUCAUCGUCUAGACACCGCCACUCAGGCCGGGGUGGGGGUGACCGAUCUAGGUCAAGGUCACGCCGAAGGUCGUCUGGGCGCGGCAAGUCGCCGCGACGCUCCGAUUCAAGGAGAAGGGGCUCGUCAAGAUCUCGAGACAAACCAGACCGUUACAGACCGAGCCGACGCUCGCUGGAUCGCGAACGAGAGAGAGAGCGCGAACGCGAUCGGGAGAGAGAGAUGGAGAGACGGGAUCGUGAACGUCGCGAGAGAAUGGCACGCGAGCGAGAACGGGAGCGAGAGAGAGAACGUGAGCGGGAACGGGAACGAGAAAGGGAACGCGAGCGGGAACGAGAGAGAGAACGCGAGCGGGAAGAAAGGGAAAGAGAGAGACGCAAGCGGGAGCGAGAGCGCAAAAGAAGCCCAGUUCGCAGUGUGAAAACUGGAAGGUCGUCUCGUUCACGUUCAAGAUCUCCCAGACGAAAUGACAGUACCUCGAGAAAGGCUGAUGAUAAGGCUUACAAAGAAAAGAGGGUUGAAAGAGAAAAGACAUCAAGAAGUCUAUCACAAACACCAUCACCAUUCAGAAAGAAGAAAGAAAUGGAUGACGAAGUAGAAAUCAUAGAGGAUAAGAAAAAGACUCCAUCCAAACCAGAAAAAGAAAAACCUAGAGACAAAUCCAAACAAUCAAAGAAGAAAUCUGAAUCACCACCAAAGAAACAGAGUCGAAAGAGCUCAGAAGGAUCGUCAGACGAAUCAGACGAUGAAGACGAUGAGGCGGAAGAAGAAGAAGAGGUAGAAGAAGUGCCGAAGAAGAAGCUGUCACACAAGAAACACGACUCGAGCUCGUCGGACAACGAAAAGGCGUCAAAGAAGAAAAAGAAGAAACAGCAGGCGCACAAACGUGGUGCCGAAUCGUCCAGCGAAGAGGAGGAGAAACCGAAGAAGAAAAGGAAAAAGGAGGAAUCGUCAUCAGAAGAUGAGGAACCGGCCAAGAAACAGAAAAAGAAGAAAAAGAAGAAGGCGCCCGCGUCUAGUUCCGAGUCGGAGGAGAGUGAAGUAGAGGAAAAGAAAAAGAAGAAGGAUAAGAAACACAAAAAACAUAAGAAACACAAGAAGCACAGGAAACACAAGAAACGCAAGGCUGAUGAAACUGACGAGUCGGAUGAUGAUGGUGCUGAGGCCGAGGCGGUGGAACGCAAACUGCGCGAACGAGCACUCAACUCGAUGAAGAAGCGGAGACCACCCUCUGAGUCAUUCAGCGAGAGUAGCAGCAGUAAAUGACGUCACCACCUCACCGCCACUAGUGCGCCCGUGCUAAACAAAUAACCUCGGCAGGGAGUUGAACUAUUUUCGUUGUGUUAAGCGUGUGCUAGGUGGUGCAUUUUUUUGUAUGUCUGAUAUUUGUGAUUCAUCACAUCAAACUGAUUUGUGGCUUUUAUGAAAAUUAAACUGUUUUAAGUAGGUUGAAACUAUCUGAAAUAGUAUACGUUGCUCAGUUGCAAUCCUGAAAUAUUAUUGUUGGUUAAAUUCGUGUUGAAAAAAUUAUCAAAACGUAUUGAAAAAUCAACAGUUUGUACAGGUGAGUGUGAUAUAUAAAACAUAAUUUUAUAAAAACUACAUCUUCACAUAUUAUUUUUCAAUAACAUUAGUUGUAUAUUGUAAUAUUAUUUAUGCCGACCGAUGAUGCAAUGUGAGAGAAACUGUAAUAAUCUGAUGAUUCUGGAUGAUUUAAAACAGGAAAAGUUGGUAUUCUAUUAUUGAUACUGUUCAUAUUAUAAUGUGACAAAAAUUAUUCUGUAUGUUUUGGGACUUAUGUAGAAGAUGACUGGUAAGAUUGAUAGAAAAGCUGUUACCUUGGUUGAAAGGUAGUGUCGUACUAUUUAUAAAUCUUGACAGUCCAACCAUGUAGGCUUCUCCCUACAAUCAACCAGGAGGUUUUGAAGUUUCAUUCUGUCUUGAUAAUAGUAACUAAAUUUAUAAUAGUAAUAAUAAUAAUAAUUAUUAUUAUGUUUCUGAUUAGUACUCUAGAUAUUGUGAAAGAGUUUGACAAAUACUUUUCAAUCAAUUAUUUUGAAAUACUAAUAAGAUAAUACGAUUUGAAAUAUCCACUAUACUGAUCUGGUUCUCAUUCCACCUAAAUAGACAACUAGUUUUUUAAGCUUCAGCUGGAUAUUUCUAAGUACAGUACUACAAACCACCAAUUUAAUAUUUCUCAGAUCAUUUCCUACUAAAGGACCUAGUACUUUAAUUUUACAUUUGGACAAUUGUUUUGCACAUAUUCUCUUGGCAAAUUCAGUAAAAUGCAUUCACACUCUAAUCGUAUUUCAGCUGCUGGAAUAUAAAGUAUUCUAUUGAUAAAAAAUAAAAGUUUUAUUCUCCGCCAGUUGCUUCAAGAACCACUUUUAAUAAGUAUUCAUUGAAAAAAAUUCUGAAUUAACGAGAGUUCGGUGAAAAAAUUGAAAGGUAAAGAGACUGCAGUUAUGUACGAUGUAUGUAGAAGUGGUUGGUCUUUUCUAUUUUAGUUGGUGAAAUACUCCCUGUCUUUUUUAAUUAAAAUUCUAAAAACAUUCAUAGAUUUAUUAAUUUAUUGUUGUAAACCAUUUUGAUUGUAUACAAAGAUCCUCAAUUUUUCUCAUAUUGGUAUUCAAUAAUAAAGUAUGUAAGUAAAGGAAAUCAAAUUUUGAAGAAAUUUAAUCUAAAUUUAUAUUUCCAUCUAUUAUAUUUUUGUGUCAUAGUGAAAAUAUAAUCUACUUAUGUACUAGUGAAAAUGAUAUGUACUAGUUGAAAAGGUAGCACAAUUACUUACCAAUUUGAGAUCUCUUGAAAUGUAAAAAUUGAAUGUUUUUAGGUGAGCUAGUCUAAUAAAAACUUUGCUAAUA
RNAcentral lists this unclassified non-coding RNA (4304 nucleotides) under Nilaparvata lugens (brown planthopper). RNAcentral's name for it is "serine/arginine repetitive matrix protein 1, transcript variant X3". The record is from RNAcentral. Lineage: Eukaryota; Metazoa; Arthropoda; Insecta; Hemiptera; Delphacidae.